This is an RNA transcript of Nicotiana attenuata, 1274 nucleotides long. RefSeq lists it as uncharacterized. The transcript has 4 exons. The record is from RefSeq and is a predicted model, not a curated record. Lineage: Eukaryota; Viridiplantae; Streptophyta; Magnoliopsida; Solanales; Solanaceae.
AAUUUCUCGUACAUGUAAACUGUGUUCCAUAAUUUCUCGUACCUGUAAACCCUGUUGUUAUCACAUGCGUCAAAUAUCAUACAAACACUGACCCUUCACACAAAAAAAGGACAAAAAAAGAAAAACAAGAACUUAUCCGAAUGAUGUGAAAGUACAGCAACAAGCAGAACCAAAGCUUCACAAAAAUCACCUUACAAUCUAAAUAUGGCUUCCCCAAGUUGAUACUUUGCUUCUUUUCUUGUUUGUCCGGUUGUGUCGCAUGUCAUAUUGUCUACAGCUUCAGUUUGGCUUUUCAGUGGGCAAGAUCUAUGUUCAAUGAUGAUGAACCUUUGGCCUUCAAGAAAAUGCACGAAUUUUCUGCGACGGAUGGCUUUUAAGAGAUAACUGAAUCCUUGGCAGGCAUGAUAAAGUUCAUCGCAAAAUGAGCCUUCCAUGGGUCUUUUCUACAUUCAACAUCAUACUCAGAGUGCAGCUCCCAACCUAAUCAAUCUCAAGAACAAUAUUGAGGAAAAAUCUCGUGAAGUGACUUUGAACACGGAAGAUUCAGAGGAUUCUAUUACCAUGAUUAGGUCGAUGAAAGAUUGUGGUGCCCCAAUUGCUAAUGAGAUGAUUAAAGAUCUGAGACAUUCUCUAGCUGUUGUAUCGAAGAAUAAGCAAUUGAGAAAAGGGUUAAUAAGGCCGUCCAAGUCAACUUUUCAGUUAGGGCGAACUAGUUCUUGGAGUCCUGCCACUUGGGGUCGAGUACAGUUCCACAAUGGAUGGUGAGAGUGGUUAUCUCUCCAAUAUUUUCAUGUCAGAGGCGGAUCUAGAGUUUAAGGUCAAUGAAAGAAAAAGCUAAUAGCUUCAAGUGGUCUCAACUAGAGUACAAAGAAUCUGAUGUAACCUAUACUUAUAAUGCACUUUCAGUUGCAGCGGCCGGAUCUUUGUUCUCAGUUUCAGAGGCGAAUGAUGAAGAGUUGCCAUUAUCAAGUCCAACUAAUAAUGACCUACAAGUGAUGCAGGUGAAUAUAAGCAUGCCCAAUAAUCAACUGCUCUCUUCAUCAGAAAAGUAUGAAGAAGUUAUGGCUGAUAAAGAAGCAAAAUUGGUGGAGUGGUUGGAAGGGAUUGGUAAUCGUAAUGCGGGUCCCGGAGAAAAUAAGCUUGGUUAAAUCUCAACCUGAAAUAUACUUCUCUCACUAGGGAGAGCUUUGAUCGUAUCAAAUAUUCAUUAUCUUUGUACUAAAAAAAUAAAUGUUAUAGAGAGAUUUUUAUAGUAAGGGAAAAAGAAAUGAAAG